CGGGGGGGGGUGCUAAUACAUGCAGUCGAGCGGACAGAUGGGAGCUUGCUCCCUGAUGUUAGCGGCGGACGGGUGAGUAACACGUGGGUAACCUGCCUGUAAGACUGGGAUAACUCCGGGAAACCGGGGCUAAUACCGGAUGGUUGUCUGAACCGCAUGGUUCAGACAUAAAAGGUGGCUUCGGCUACCACUUACAGAUGGACCCGCGGCGCAUUAGCUAGUUGGUGAGGUAACGGCUCACCAAGGCGACGAUGCGUAGCCGACCUGAGAGGGUGAUCGGCCACACUGGGACUGAGACACGGCCCAGACUCCUACGGGAGGCAGCAGUAGGGAAUCUUCCGCAAUGGACGAAAGUCUGACGGAGCAACGCCGCGUGAGUGAUGAAGGUUUUCGGAUCGUAAAGCUCUGUUGUUAGGGAAGAACAAGUGCCGUUCAAAUAGGGCGGCACCUUGACGGUACCUAACCAGAAAGCCACGGCUAACUACGUGCCAGCAGCCGCGGUAAUACGUAGGUGGCAAGCGUUGUCCGGAAUUAUUGGGCGUAAAGGGCUCGCAGGCGGUUUCUUAAGUCUGAUGUGAAAGCCCCCGGCUCAACCGGGGAGGGUCAUUGGAAACUGGGGAACUUGAGUGCAGAAGAGGAGAGUGGAAUUCCACGUGUAGCGGUGAAAUGCGUAGAGAUGUGGAGGAACACCAGUGGCGAA
This 700-nucleotide ribosomal RNA is filed under the name Bacillus sp. (in: firmicutes). Its description in RNAcentral is "bacterial SSU rRNA". It matches the Rfam family "Bacterial small subunit ribosomal RNA", at positions 36 to 719 of the family's 1533-position model. Lineage: Bacteria; Bacillati; Bacillota; Bacilli; Caryophanales; Bacillaceae. The record is from RNAcentral.